Molecule: ribosomal RNA, 310 nt
Filed under: Triticum aestivum (bread wheat)
Lineage: Eukaryota; Viridiplantae; Streptophyta; Magnoliopsida; Poales; Poaceae
Description: partial small subunit ribosomal RNA
Source: RNAcentral
AAUUUUUUUAUUGCAUUUGAACUAGAUAUGGUUGUAUCUUAGAGAUUGUUGCUUUGGACAGGAUUUACUAUAUUUUUGCAGCAGGCUACAUGCUUCUCUGAAUGACCAUUUAAGGAGUGAACAUGAACUGCUGAUGUAUAUGUUCCAUGCUCCAUGGGGAGGGAACAAGGAUUGAUUUUCGCCGGGAGUAGGAAGAGUAUGACUUGCCUAACAGAAGCACAAACACAAAUGGACACUCUGCAGUUGUAUCAGACACACCACCACAAGACCUGCUGUGUGCGUCACAAUUCUUAGCAGCGACCGUUACGAC